Molecule: long non-coding RNA, 1551 nt
Organism: Poecilia reticulata (guppy)
Lineage: Eukaryota; Metazoa; Chordata; Actinopteri; Cyprinodontiformes; Poeciliidae
Source: RefSeq, a predicted model, not a curated record
UCUGAAGAUGAAGACGAUGACCGGGGAGUCUAUAGCCCGCUUGGAGCUGUAAAUAUUAAACCUCCUGGUUGCGGUUCUCUGAGGUGUCGCCCCGACGAUCGCGUGGCGCACAGCAUGGGAGCUGUCCUUCGCUGACCGCAGGGCUGCUGUUGUGAAACAUGUCACGUAUGAACUCCUGAAAUAUCCCGACGUCAUCUCCGUCCACCUCCUUACUUCCACAGACAUCACUGACUAGAUCUCUGAGAGCAGAGAGAUGAGAAGCUGUCAGAGUUCUCACAGAGUCUCCAGCGCCAGCAGACCUUCUCGUUCUCUGAUCAUUAUUCUCCAUUAUGUUGUCCUGUGGAACCUGAAGUGGGACUGAGUCAUGAGUGUCAGAGAACAUCCUGAGUGUGAGGACACCAUAGCACCAUCUGUGAAGGCUUUGGGACAUGCGUUAGCUGGCCAAGCUGUUGAUUUGUACUCUGAUCACCAGACGGGAUUCAAACCGCACAGACGUCACUGAAUUCCCCUCAAGAAAUCUUCCUCAGUUUAAAGGUCUACCUCAAGUGUUGGCGAAUUGUCUCCAGGUUGACGGAGGGAACUUCCCAUGUGGACAUAGCUCGCUCUAAUGAAAGUACUGAGAGGUUUAAAUCUUUUACAGGUGCUCAUAGGUGUGUGUUGGGGCUGUGCUGCACAUCAGCGAUGCUGCACACACACAGGAUUCAGCUGAAGUAAGAAAUGACUUGACAGUUUGGAGCUGAUGAGAGGAGCAUGUGGAGUUCAGCUCACGACACCUCAAGCUGCACUGAAAUAAAAAUAACAUGAACUGCUAUGAUAUGCCUACAGUUUGAUAAAAAAAAUAAAAAUAAAAAACAGUUUCAUCAUAUUUACUAAGUAAUAAUUAAAUAAAACUACUUAAGACAUUGAUCAUUGUGUUAUAUAAUGUCAACACCAGCUUCAUUUAGUAGUAGCUUUUAGAAACGUAUAAUGCAGAGUGUUAAUCAUUUUUGUGGAUUUGCAAUUUAUAUAAUACUACAAGCUGGUUUAGUGCUUGUCGUGUUUGCUGUCAGCUGCUUAACAGGCCUGCUUUUUGCAGAUUGUCAACUACAGUUUUAAACUAAUGUUACUGUAAUGUGAUACAAAUAAAGUGCAAAUAAAUUAAAGGUUUAAAGUUUUCUAUACAAAAGUUCCAUCAGGUGGUUUGGAAAGGAAAUAAUAGUGCAUGAAGUGAAUAAAUAGAGGAACCCGUUCUAAAGAUUGGGUGCCACAGAGCGAAACGUUUGGUGUUUGGGACCAACGGCACAGCAGAGUUCCAGCAGAUCAGAGAUCCUGAAGAGUUUGACCAUAUUAGGCCCUAAAAGGUUUUCAAAUCAAAUUUAAAAUUGUUUAUCUGAGUCCGUAGCAAUGUGUGAUUUUCUGUUUGGAGAAACAGGAGUGACGUAAAAGUGUCAAGUGAUGCUGUCUGGUUUUUUUAUUUUGUCGAUUCAUUUUUUAGGUCUUCAGCUCUGCCACCUCCGCUUGUCCUUUUCUCAAUAUCUCCUAAUAAUAUUAUUUUCAUUUCCACCAUCAAUA